CAUAACAAGGUCAUUUUUAAACAGAGCAUUGAGUUUGUUGAAAUGGGUAAUUCUUUUUAGCAACAAAUGAUAAAGAGUUCUAUCGGAUACCAAAGAACCACAGUAGAUGAAAUAAAGAACAUGAAGGCCUGUUCCCGAAUUAGUCAGUUCUUUUUUUGUCCAAAUCUCCGGAUGGAAAACUGUGAAGCAAAAAUGAGUAAUUUCCCAAUAGAUUUCCAUCUGUGUUUUGAAAACAGAAGUAAGAUGUUAUUAUUGGCCAUAAUUUGAGAUACAGAACAAGAAUUAUGACGCUUCAAUAUAUAAAUAUAAAAAAAAAAAAAAAAAAGCUACAGCUUUUAUUCCAGUUUUUGCAUACAUAGUAAUAAGUAAUAAAAAUAGAUCAAUCAUCUGCCCCAUUUGAUAUAUGCGCUCCUCUUUCUCCCUUUUCUUCAUCCUUGUACGGCUCUAGUCUCCAUUUGGGAAUUUGGGAACCGUGGAUCAAUUGUCAAAUUGAAGGUCAUCAAUGGUGAUUGAGCGCCACAACUGGUAGUAUCGCAAUAAGCUCCCUGGCAAUUUUUUUUAAAGAAAGGAAAACCAUUUCCAUCUGGGUCUUCGACAAAAACAGAAGGGAGCAAAAUACCAGUUUCGCUUUUCAGUGAAUCAGUCACCUGGAGAGCAAUGGGGAUGGUUGAAUUUGGGCUAUGGUCAGUCUGGCAUUAGAUUGGAGAUUUUUGUUGGUUAUUUUAGUAGCUUUAAUGAUUUGGUGAAUGACGUGUUUCGUUGCGGGCAUAUUGAAAAAGUUAGAUUUUCGUAUUUGAUUGGUACCUUUUCAGAAAUACUCCUAAAUUUAAGAAUACAUAAGCCACAUUUAUACUCCUCAUGUAUAUGAAAAAGUCUUACCCUGUCUCAAAUGGUGAGAAAAUUACAUCCA
This 910-nucleotide long non-coding RNA is filed under the name Jatropha curcas. RNAcentral's name for it is "long non-coding RNA (JCUR_LNC002438)". Lineage: Eukaryota; Viridiplantae; Streptophyta; Magnoliopsida; Malpighiales; Euphorbiaceae. The record is from RNAcentral.